UUAGUUUUGUUUUAUUUUUCUCUCUGAAGAUGGCUGAUUUUGGGAGAAAUCUAAUCAAAACUAUAAUACGAACUCUUGUUAUGGCUCCGGUGUAUACUACAGCAGGAUAUGUUGCAUACAGAACUGGACGCUGGUUCUAUAAUCAUGAGAUGAGGAGACUUGCUAUAGUGAG
This is a long non-coding RNA of Solanum verrucosum, 172 nucleotides long. RefSeq lists it as uncharacterized. The transcript has 3 exons. Lineage: Eukaryota; Viridiplantae; Streptophyta; Magnoliopsida; Solanales; Solanaceae. The record is from RefSeq and is a predicted model, not a curated record.